UACGUAGGGUGCAAGCGUUGCCCGGAUUUAUUGGGCGUAAAGAGCGUGUAGGCGGCCAGACAGGUCCGUUGUGAAAACUAGAGGCUUAACCUCUAGACGUCGAUGGAAACUGUCUGGCUAGAGUCCGGAAGAGGAGAAUGGAAUUCCUGGUGUAGCGGUGAAAUGCGCAGAUAUCAGGAAGAACACCCGUGGCUAAGGCGGUUCUCUAGUACGGUACUGACGCUGAGACGCGAAAGCGUGGGGAGCGAACAGG
Molecule: ribosomal RNA, 253 nt
Filed under: uncultured bacterium
Lineage: Bacteria
Description: partial 16S ribosomal RNA
Rfam family: Bacterial small subunit ribosomal RNA
Source: RNAcentral